GACGAACGCUGGCGGCGUGGAUUAGGCAUGCAAGUCGAACGGUAUCAUCCUUUCGGGGGUGAGAGAGUGGCGAACUGGUGAGUAACACGUAGGUUAUCUACCCUCAAGACGGGGACAACCCAGGGAAACUUGGGCUAAUACCGGAUGUGAGCAACUUUUAGUUGUUUGAAAGGUGGCGUAAGCUGUCGCUUGGGGAUGAGCCUGCGUCCUAUUAGUUAGUUGGUGAGGUAACGGCUCACCUAGGCAAUGAUAGGUAGGCGGCCUUAACGGGUGGUCGCCCACACUGGGAUUGAGAUACGGCCCAGACUCCUACGGGAGGCAGCAGUCGAGAAUAGUCUACAAUGGUCGGAAGACUGAUAGUGCGACGCCGCGUGAACGAUGAAAUCCCUUCGGGGUGUAAAGUUCUUUUAUAUGUGAGCAGUGCUUCUUAUAUUAACAGUAUGGGGAGAGAGAUAUUAGCAUAUGAAUAAGCAACGGCUAAACUCCGUGCCCAGCCAGCCGCGGUAAUA
This 509-nucleotide ribosomal RNA is filed under the name uncultured bacterium. RNAcentral's name for it is "bacterial SSU rRNA". It matches the Rfam family "Bacterial small subunit ribosomal RNA", at positions 28 to 525 of the family's 1533-position model. The record is from RNAcentral.